GAUGAACGCUAGCGGCAGGCCUAACACAUGCAAGUCGAGGGAGAGGUUACCUUCGGGUAACCAAAACCGGCGCACGGGUGCGUAACGCGUAUACAAUCUGCCUUUCACAUAGGGAUAGCCCGAAGAAAUUUGGAUUAAUACCUAAUGGUAUAUAAGAGCGGCAUCGUUUUUAUAUUAAAGCUACGGUGGUUAAAGAUGAGUAUGCGUUCUAUUAGCUAGUUGGAGAGGUAACGGCUCCCCAAGGCGACGAUAGAUAGGGGUUCUGAGAGGGAUGUCCCCCACACUGGUACUGAGAUACGGACCAGACUACUACGGGAGGAAGCAGUGAGGAAUAUUGGACAAUGGUCGGAAGAAUGAUGCAGCCAUGCCGCGUGCAGGAUGAAGGUCCUAUGGAUUGUAAACUGCUUUUGUAAGGGAAGAAUAAGGAGUACGUGUACUUUGAUGACGGUACCUUACGAAUAAGCAUCGGCUAACUCCGUG
This 480-nucleotide ribosomal RNA is filed under the name uncultured bacterium. RNAcentral describes it as "partial 16S ribosomal RNA". It matches the Rfam family "Bacterial small subunit ribosomal RNA", at positions 28 to 507 of the family's 1533-position model. The record is from RNAcentral.